GAGUUUGAUCAUGGCUCAGGAUGAACGCUGGCGGCGUGCCUAAUACAUGCAAGUCGAGCGAACGGACGAGAAGCUUGCUUCUCUGAUGUUAGCGGCGGACGGGUGAGUAACACGUGGAUAACCUACCUAUAAGACUGGGAUAACUUCGGGAAACCGGAGCUAAUACCGGAUAAUAUUUUGAACCGCAUGGUUCAAAAGUAAAAGACGGUCUUGCUGUCACUUAUAGAUGGAUCCGCGCUGCAUUAGCUAGUUGGUAAGGUAACGGCUUACCAAGGCAACGAUGCAUAGCCGACCUGAGAGGGUGAUCGGCCACACUGGAACUGAGACACGGUCCAGACUCCUACGGGAGGCAGCAGUAGGGAAUCUUCCGCAAUGGGCGAAAAGCCUGACGGAGCAACGCCGCGUGAGUGAUGAAGGUCUUCGGAUCGUAAAACUCUGUUAUUAGGGAAGAACAUAUGUGUAAGUAACUGUGCACAUCUUGACGGUACCUAAUCAGAAAGCCACGGCUAACUACGUCG
This 518-nucleotide ribosomal RNA is filed under the name uncultured microorganism. RNAcentral describes it as "bacterial SSU rRNA". It matches the Rfam family "Bacterial small subunit ribosomal RNA", at positions 9 to 508 of the family's 1533-position model. The record is from RNAcentral.